ACGAUCGAGAGAGAGGUGAUAUUCAGAGGCUUUGCGUCUUUGCUCCGGAGAAGUACAGAGAGGGUGAGAGGUGAAGAACAAUAGGGAGAGAAGACCCAUUUCAAUUCGAUCCGUUUCGACUUCCGCUAAGCUACGCUCUCUUUGGUUAUGUUUUCAGAUGGUGAUGGGAGUCUGAAUGAAAGUGAUCAGAAAAGGCUACGUCCUCCAGUCCUAUUUAGAGUGAGAAGCCACUAGCAAUCUACUCCAGAAGCAAGUCAUGCAUCAAAGUUGCAAUGGACUUUGUCUCACCUGAAAAUAUCGGCGAGUGCUUUCACUUGACAGAAGCAUUCCUCACACUUCCGGAAAAUCAUAGGGCUAAAGCGGACAAAUUGGAGGCAUAUCAUC
This is a long non-coding RNA of Rosa rugosa (rugosa rose), 384 nucleotides long. RefSeq lists it as uncharacterized. Lineage: Eukaryota; Viridiplantae; Streptophyta; Magnoliopsida; Rosales; Rosaceae. The transcript has 4 exons. The record is from RefSeq and is a predicted model, not a curated record.